GACGAACGCUGGCGGCGUGCUUAACACAUGCAAGUCGAACGGAAAGGCCCUGCUUUUGUGGGGUGCUCGAGUGGCGAACGGGUGAGUAACACGUGAGUAACCUGCCCUUGACUUUGGGAUAACUUCAGGAAACUGGGGCUAAUACCGGAUAGGAGCUCCUGCUGCAUGGUGGGGGUUGGAAAGUUUCGGCGGUUGGGGAUGGACUCGCGGCUUAUCAGCUUGUUGGUGGGGUAGUGGCUUACCAAGGCUUUGACGGGUAGCCGGCCUGAGAGGGUGACCGGCCACAUUGGUACUGAGAUACGGCCCAGACUCCUACGGGAGGCAGCAGUGGGGAAUAUUGCACAAUGGGCGGAAGCCUGAUGCAGCAACGCCGCGUGCGGGAUGACGGCCUUCGGGUUGUAAACCGCUUUCGCCUGUGACGAAGCGUGAGUGACGGUAAUGGGUAAAUAAGCACCGGCUAACUACGUG
This 468-nucleotide ribosomal RNA is filed under the name uncultured bacterium. RNAcentral's name for it is "partial 16S ribosomal RNA". It matches the Rfam family "Bacterial small subunit ribosomal RNA", at positions 28 to 507 of the family's 1533-position model. The record is from RNAcentral.